Molecule: non-coding RNA, 100 nt
Filed under: Oryzias latipes (Japanese medaka)
Lineage: Eukaryota; Metazoa; Chordata; Actinopteri; Beloniformes; Adrianichthyidae
Also listed under: 1 other name
Description: microRNA ola-mir-26 precursor (ola-mir-26-2)
Gene: ola-mir-26-2
Rfam family: mir-26 microRNA precursor family (bases 11-91)
About the family: The hairpin precursors (represented here) are predicted based on base pairing and cross-species conservation -- their extents are not known.
Source: miRBase by way of RNAcentral
GCCUGACUGGCUGUUAUCAAGUUCAAGUAAUCCAGGAUAGGCUGUUUGUAUCCUGGUUGGCCUAUUCAUGAUUACUUGCACUGGGUGGCAGCUCCUAGAU